AGAGUUUGAUCAUGGCUCAGGAUGAACGCUGGCGGUCUGCUUAACACAUGCAAGUCGAACGGACUCUUCGGAGUUAGUGGCGGACGGGUGAGUAACGCGUGAGAAUCUGCCUCUAGAACGGGGACAACAGAGGGAAACUUCUGCUAAUCCCGGAUGAGCCGAAAGGUCAAAGAUUUAUCGUCUAGAGAUGAGCUCGCGUCUGAUUAGCUAGUUGGUAAGGUAAAGGCUUACCAAGGCAACGAUCAGUAGCUGGUCUGAGAGGAUGAUCAGCCACACUGGGACUGAGACACGGCCCAGACUCCUACGGGAGGCAGCAGUGGGGAAUUUUCCGCAAUGGGCGCAAGCCUGACGGAGCAAGACCGCGUGGGGGAGGAAAGCCUUUGGGUUGUAAACCCCUUUUCUCAGGGAAGAAGAAAGUGACGGUACCUGAGGAAUCAGCCCCGGCUAACUCCGUGCCAGCAGCCGCGGUAAUACGGAGGAGGCAAGCGUUAUCCGGAAUGAUUGGGCGUAAAGCGUUCGUAGGUGGCAAUUCAAGUCUGCUGUCAAAGACAGUAGCUCAACUACUGCAAGGCAGUGGAAACUGAAUAGCUAGAGUGCGGUAGGGGCAGAGGGAAUUCCCGGUGUAGCGGUGAAAUGCGUAGAGAUCGGGAAGAACACCGGUGGCGAAAGCGCUCUGCUGGGCCGCAACUGACACUGAGGGACGAAAGCUAGGGGAGCGAAUGGGAUUAGAUACCCCAGUAGUCCUAGCUGUAAACGAUGGAAACUAGGUGUUGCCUGUAUCGACCCAGGCAGUGCCGUAGCUAACGCGUAAGUUACCGCAUGGAUACGAAGGGUCCCCGCACAAGCGGUGGAGUAUGUGGUUUAAUUCGAUGCAACGCGAAGAACCUUACCAGGGCUUGACAUGUCCGGAAUUCUGGGGAAACUCGGAAGUGCCUUCGGGAACCGGAACACAGGUGGUGCAUGGCUGUCGUCAGCUCGUGUCGUGAGAUGUUGGGUUAAGUCCCGCAACGAGCGCAACCCUCGUUUUUAGUUGCCAUCAUUAAGUUGGGCACUCUAGAGAGACUGCCGGUGACAAACCGGAGGAAGGUGGGGAUGACGUCAAGUCAUCAUGCCCCUUACGUCCUGGGCUACACACGUACUACAAUGGUAAGGACAAAGGGCAGCCACUUCGCGAGGAGGAGCUAAUCCCGUGAACCUUGCCUCAGUUCAGAUUGCAGGCUGCAACUCGCCUGCAUGAAGGAGGAAUCGCUAGUAAUCGCAGGUCAGCAUACUGCGGUGAAUCCGUUCCCGGGCCUUGUACACACCGCCCGUCACACCAUGGAAGUUAGCCAUGCCCGAAGUCAUUACUCUAACCUUUCGAGGAGGAGGGUGCCGAAGGCAGGGCUGAUGACUGGGGUGAAGUCGUAACAAGGUAACC
RNAcentral lists this ribosomal RNA (1417 nucleotides) under uncultured bacterium. RNAcentral's name for it is "bacterial SSU rRNA". It matches the Rfam family "Bacterial small subunit ribosomal RNA". The record is from RNAcentral.